RNAcentral lists this ribosomal RNA (523 nucleotides) under uncultured bacterium. RNAcentral's name for it is "bacterial SSU rRNA". It matches the Rfam family "Bacterial small subunit ribosomal RNA", at positions 791 to 1319 of the family's 1533-position model. The record is from RNAcentral.
UAGUCCACGCAGUAAACGAUGAUAACUCGUUGUAGGCGAUAUACAGUCUGUAACCAAGCGAAAGCGAUAAGUUAUCCACCUGGGGAGUACGACCGCAAGGUUGAAACUCAAAGGAAUUGACGGGGGCCCGCACAAGCGGAGGAACAUGUGGUUUAAUUCGAUGAUACGCGAGGAACCUUACCCGGGCUUGAAAGUUAGCGACCGACCAAGAAAUUGGUUUUCUCUUCGGAGCGCGAAACUAGGUGCUGCAUGGUUGUCGUCAGCUCGUGCCGUGAGGUGUCGGGUUAAGUCCCAUAACGAGCGCAACCCCUACUGAUAGUUGCCAGCGGAUAAUGCCGGGGACUCUAUCGGGACUGCCAGUGUAAACUGCGAGGAAGGUGGGGAUGACGUCAAAUCAGCACGGCCCUUACGUCCGGGGCGACACACGUGUUACAAUGGUCGGUACAGAGGGUAGCUACCUGGUGACAGGAUGCCAAUCUCUAAAGCCGAUCUCAGUUCGGAUUGGAGGCUGAAACUCGCCUCC